This 429-nucleotide ribosomal RNA is filed under the name Chloroflexota bacterium. RNAcentral describes it as "Chloroflexi bacterium partial 16S ribosomal RNA". It matches the Rfam family "Bacterial small subunit ribosomal RNA", at positions 355 to 776 of the family's 1533-position model. Lineage: Bacteria; Bacillati; Chloroflexota. The record is from RNAcentral.
UGGGGAAUAUUGCACAAUGGGCGCAAGCCUGAUGCAGCCAUGCCGCGUGUGUGAAGAAGGCCUUCGGGUUGUAAAGCACUUUCAGCGGGGAGGAAGGCGAUAAGGUUAAUAACCUUGUCGAUUGACGUUACCCGCAGAAGAAGCACCGGCUAACUCCGUGCCAGCAGCCGCGGUAAUACGGAGGGUGCAAGCGUUAAUCGGAAUUACUGGGCGUAAAGCGCACGCAGGCGGUCUGUCAAGUCGGAUGUGAAAUCCCCGGGCUCAACCUGGGAACUGCAUUCGAAAAUGGCAGGCUAGAGUCUUGUAGAGGGGGGUAGAAUACCAGGUGUAGCGGUGAAAUGCGUAGAGAUCUGGGGGAAUACCGGUGGCGAAGGCGGCCCCCUGGUCAAAGACUGCCGCUCAGGUGCGAAAGCGUGGGGAGCAAACAGG